AGAAUCAACGCUGGCGGCGUGCCUAACACAUGCAAGUCGCACGAGAAAGGGACUUCGGUCCUGAGUAAAGUGGCGCACGGGUGAGUAACACGUGAAUAAUCUACCUCCGAGUGGGGAAUAACUGAGAGAAAUCUUAGCUAAUACCGCAUAACACUUACGAGUCAAAGCAGCAAUGCGCUUGGAGGGGAGUUCGCGGCAGAUUAGUUAGUUGGCGGGGUAAUGGCCCACCAAGACGAUGAUCUGUA
Molecule: ribosomal RNA, 245 nt
Filed under: uncultured bacterium
Lineage: Bacteria
Description: partial small subunit ribosomal RNA
Rfam family: Bacterial small subunit ribosomal RNA
Source: RNAcentral